GCCGCGUUAGUGUUAAGGUAGCAUAGUAAUUAGUUUCUUAUUUGGGAAAUGGAAUGAAUGGUUUCACUAAAAUAUGAUAUUUAUUCUAAUUUGCGAAAUUUUAAUCUGAGUGAAAAUACUCAGAAGAUAUAUUUAGACGAGAAGACCCUAUGAAGCUGGUAGACUUCCAAUGUAAUUAUACGAUAGUUCAUGAGUUUAUUUUUUGGGGUAAAAUUUAAUAAUAGUAUUAAUAUUGGCUUACUAAAUAAUAUCCUCUUGGAAUUAUGAAAAA
RNAcentral lists this ribosomal RNA (271 nucleotides) under Calanus glacialis. RNAcentral describes it as "partial 16S ribosomal RNA". Lineage: Eukaryota; Metazoa; Arthropoda; Copepoda; Calanoida; Calanidae. The record is from RNAcentral.